This 337-nucleotide unclassified non-coding RNA is filed under the name soil metagenome. Its description in RNAcentral is "partial contains 5.8S ribosomal RNA, internal transcribed spacer 2, and large subunit ribosomal RNA". The stretch from base 1 to 120 matches the Rfam family "5.8S ribosomal RNA", at positions 35 to 154 of the family's 154-position model. The record is from RNAcentral.
GAUGAAGAACGUAGCGAAAUGCGAUAAGUAGUGUGAAUUGCAGACUUUAGUGAAUCAUCGAAUCUUUGAACGCACAUUGCGCCACUUGGUAAUCCAUUGGGCAUGCCUGUUCGAGCGUCAUUUACACCCUCAAGCUCCGCUUGGUGUUGGGCGUCUGUCCUUGCUACACGCAAAGACUCGCCUUAAAUUCAUUGGCAGUGGCACCGUCGGCUUCUCGCGCAGCACAUUGCGCUAUAGAAGGCUACCGGCAGUCCAGCUACCAUUAAGAAACUACCCAGUUUGACCUCGAAUCAGGUAGGGAUACCCGCUGAACUUAAGCAUAUCAAUAAGCGGAGGA